AAUGAACGCUGGCGGCGUGCCUAACACAUGCAAGUCGAGCGAGAAAGCUCCUUCGGGAGUAAGUACAGCGGCGGACGGGUGAGAAACGCGUGAGAAUUUACCCUUUAGUGAAGAAUACCUCUGAGAAAUCGGAGUUAAUACUGCAUACGUCUCUUCGGAGAGAAAGGUGGCCUCUUGCUGCAGCUAAAGGAUGAGCUUGCGUACUAUUAGCUAGUUGGUGGGGUAAAGGCCUACCAAGGCGAUGAUGGUUAGCCGGCCUGAGAGGGUGUACGGCCACACUGGAACUUAGACACGGUCCAGACUCCUACGGGAGGCAGCAGUGGGGAAUAUUGCGCAAUGGGCGAAAGCCUGACGCAGCGACGCCGCGUGGAGGAUGAAGGUCUUCGGAUUGUAAACUUCUGUUAAGUGGGAAGAAAUACUUAUCAUUAAUACCGAUAGGGGAUGACUGUACCAUUAGAGAAAGCACCGGCUAACUUCGUGCCAGCAGCCGCGGUAA
This 496-nucleotide ribosomal RNA is filed under the name uncultured bacterium. RNAcentral describes it as "partial 16S ribosomal RNA". It matches the Rfam family "Bacterial small subunit ribosomal RNA", at positions 29 to 523 of the family's 1533-position model. The record is from RNAcentral.